RNAcentral lists this long non-coding RNA (937 nucleotides) under Nicotiana tabacum (common tobacco). RNAcentral describes it as "long non-coding RNA (NTAB_LNC001306)". The record is from RNAcentral. Lineage: Eukaryota; Viridiplantae; Streptophyta; Magnoliopsida; Solanales; Solanaceae.
GGCAAGCCCUUCUACAUCUGGAAAUUGCCACCAAAUCUAAGUACAGAAUCCAUCCUCUAUUCUCUGAAGAUUAUGGAACUACAUCGAAUUUUAAAAUUAGAAUUUGGAUAUUUAAACUAUACUGACCUGUUGUUUUAGAUGAAAUUGGCUAACACAGUCGACCAAAAGAUUCCAACCAUAAUCAAUAGAGAUACAUGCAUUCCACAAUCAGAAACCCAAAUAAGUCCGAUGCAUACUAAGUAUAGAGGAAAACAAACAUUUGAGACAGAAAGAAAGGAAAGAGAGAAAGUUUACCUUUGUUUCCGGUGAAGAGCUUUUAAUAGUCUCUCCUUCCUGACUUGCACUCUUCUCCCUCAUGCCUUACUAUCUAACCCCAAGUUUCAUAUCAGAUUUAAAGAGCAUCAAGAACAAAAUGGAUUGGAGUAUAUUUUUGAGAAACUGAAGAGACGGGAAACAAACAAAGGAAUAAUAUAUGGCUGAGUAAGAAAUGAAGAUGUGUUGGCUGCAAAAAUAAAAGCUGCCGCAGGGAACAAUAUCAACUAAGUAAUUGAAAUGACUAAAUUACCCUCAGGUUUGAAUUAAAUUCCACGAAGCACACACGUCGAAACCUAGCUCUUUAACAGAGAUACAUGCAUUCCACAAUCAGAAACCCAAAUAAGCCUACUACAUAGUCCUGACUAAAUAUAGAGGAAAGCAAACACUCGAAACGGAAAGAAAGGAAAGAGAGAAAGUUUACCUUUGUUUCUGGUGAAUAGCUUUAAAUAGUCUCUCCUUCCUGACGUGCACUCUUCUCCCUUGUGCUUUACUAUCUAACCCCAAGUUUCAUAUCAGAUUUAAAGAGCAUCAAGAACAAAAUGAAUUGGAGUAUAUCUUUGAAAAACUGAAGAGACGGGAAACAAACAAAGGAAUAAUAUACGACUGAGUAAGAAAUGAAGAU